RNAcentral lists this ribosomal RNA (113 nucleotides) under Lepisosteus oculatus (spotted gar). The record is from RNAcentral. Lineage: Eukaryota; Metazoa; Chordata; Actinopteri; Semionotiformes; Lepisosteidae.
GGCAGAAGCUUUACCAGCUUGUAGCCUGAUCUUGUCAGAUCUCAUAAGCUAAGCAAGCCUAGACCUAAUCAGAAGUGAGAUGGAAGACAUAAACAAAUAGGUUGCUUCUGCAC